This 253-nucleotide ribosomal RNA is filed under the name uncultured bacterium. RNAcentral's name for it is "partial 16S ribosomal RNA". It matches the Rfam family "Bacterial small subunit ribosomal RNA", at positions 524 to 776 of the family's 1533-position model. The record is from RNAcentral.
UACGGAGGAUGCAAGCGUUAUCCGGAGUGAUUGGGCGUAAAGCGUCCGCAGGUGGCUAUGUAAGUCUGCUGCUAAAGAGUGAGGCUCAACCUCAUAAGAGCAGUGGAAACUACAUGGCUAGAGUGCGUUCGGGGCAGAGGGAAUUCCUGGUGUAGCGGUGAAAUGCGUAGAUAUCAGGAAGAACACCGGUGGCGAAAGCGCUCUGCUAGGCCGCAACUGACACUGAGGGACGAAAGCUAGGGGAGCGAAUGGG